Molecule: long non-coding RNA, 1317 nt
Filed under: Fragaria vesca (wild strawberry)
Lineage: Eukaryota; Viridiplantae; Streptophyta; Magnoliopsida; Rosales; Rosaceae
Description: long non-coding RNA (FVES_LNC003785)
Source: RNAcentral
AAAAAAUUAAAAAAAUUAAAAAAGAAAAGGGUAGAACUACUUUUGAUUAAUUAGAGAAGGCAAGCAUCUUAGAUUAUCACUGUUCACUGGUCUGACUUCUUCCAACCUCAAAGAUGAUCUACUAUUAAAUUGAUGAUUCUCUUCAGUGUCAACUCCAGGGUGACAUGCAGACCAUUUUGAUCUGAAGAAAACCUAGAAAGAUAGUUGACUACAGACCCGAUGAGUGGCGACCUUGACAAAGUCAUGCCAAGAUACAUAAUCCAAUACUUCAUAGGAUCUUACAUGCCGGUGUGUGACCGGUGUUGAGGCCACAUCAAAUAAUGUGAUACAUCCAGAGGCCGGCCGGCAAGAAAGAGAAACAUAUAUUGUAAUAUCCCACAUCGGCCAAACGGAGAGGGGUUAUGUGCUGUAUAUGUACAUGCCCACCUCCAAUCUAACACGAGGUCUUUUGGUGGCUCAGCGGCUUCGGAGGGGAUGGGUACUCCGAAGUUAAGCAUGUUGAUGCUAGAGCAAUCCCAGGAUGGGUGACCUACUGGGAAGUUGCUCCUGAGCUGCCGGAAACAAAACCGUGAGGGCCGGUGGGCCCAAAGCAGACAAUAUCGUGUUACGGCGGAAUGGGUCCCGGGGUGUGACAAAUGGUAUCAGAGCCACUCUGCCGUGUGGUGCGAGUGUGCCGACGAGGGCGUCGGACUCCCAAGGGGGGUGGAUUGUAAUAUCCCACAUCGGUCAAACGGAGAGGGGUUAUGUGCUGUAUAUGUACAUGCCCACCUCCAAUCUAACACGAGGCUUUUUGGUGGCUCAGCGGCUUCGGAGGGGAUGGGUACUCCGAAGUUAAGCAUGUUGAUGCUAGAGCAAUCCCAGGAUGGGUAACCUACAGGGAAGUUGCUCCUGAGCUGCCGGAAACAAAACCGUGAGGGCCGGUGGGCCCAAAGCGGACAAUAUCGUGUUACGGCGGAAUGGGUCCUAGGGUGUUACAAAUGGUAUCAGAGCCACUCUGCCGUGUGGUGCGAGUGUGCCGACGAGGGCGUCGGACUCCCAAGGGGGGUGGAUUGUAAUAUCCCACAUCGGUCAAACGGAGAGGGGUUAUGUGCUGUAUAUGUACAUGCCCACCUCCAAUCUAACACGAGGCCUUUUGGUGGCUCAGCGGCUUCGGAGGGGAUGGGUACUCCGAGGUUAAGCAUGUCGAUGCGAGAGCAAUCCCAGGAUGGGUGACCUAUUGGGAAGUUGCUCCUGAGCUGCCGGAAACAAAACCGUGAGGGCCGGGGGCCCAAAGCGGACAAUAUCGUGUUACGGCGGAGCGGGUCCCGGGGUGUGACA